This 61-nucleotide transfer RNA is filed under the name Apanteles gelechiidivoris. RNAcentral's name for it is "tRNA-Cys". Lineage: Eukaryota; Metazoa; Arthropoda; Insecta; Hymenoptera; Braconidae. The record is from RNAcentral.
AUUUUAUUAGUUUAAAUAAAAACAUUAAAUUGCAAAUUUAAAAAUAAUUACUUAUAAAAUU